This 253-nucleotide ribosomal RNA is filed under the name uncultured bacterium. RNAcentral describes it as "partial 16S ribosomal RNA". It matches the Rfam family "Bacterial small subunit ribosomal RNA", at positions 524 to 776 of the family's 1533-position model. The record is from RNAcentral.
UACGUAGGGUGCGAGCGUUACUCGGAAUUACUGGGCGUAAAGCGUGCGCAGGCGGUAAGUUAAGUCUGAUGUGAAAGCCCCGGGCUCAACCUGGGAAUGGCAUUGGAAACUGGCUUGCUGGAGUGUGGCAGAGGGGGGUGGAAUUCCGCGUGUAGCAGUGAAAUGCGUAGAUAUCGGAAGGAACAUCAGUGGCGAAAGCGGCUUCCUGGACCAGUACCGACGUUCAGGCACGAAAGCGUGGGGAGCAAACAGG